This 844-nucleotide ribosomal RNA is filed under the name Scolecofusariella peltigerae. RNAcentral describes it as "Scolecofusarium ciliatum partial large subunit ribosomal RNA". It matches the Rfam family "Eukaryotic large subunit ribosomal RNA", at positions 67 to 944 of the family's 3401-position model. The record is from RNAcentral. Lineage: Eukaryota; Fungi; Ascomycota; Sordariomycetes; Hypocreales; Nectriaceae.
AACAGGGAUUGCCCUAGUAACGGCGAGUGAAGCGGCAACAGCUCAAAUUUGAAAUCUGGCCCUCGGGUCCGAGUUGUAAUUUGUAGAGGAUGCUUUUGGUGCGGUACCUUCCGAGUUCCCUGGAACGGGACGCCAUAGAGGGUGAGAGCCCCGUCUGGUUGGAUGCCAAUCCUCUGUAAAGCUCCUUCGACGAGUCGAGUAGUUUGGGAAUGCUGCUCUAAAUGGGAGGUAUAUGUCUUCUAAAGCUAAAUAUUGGCCAGAGACCGAUAGCGCACAAGUAGAGUGAUCGAAAGAUGAAAAGCACUUUGAAAAGAGAGUUAAAAAGCACGUGAAAUUGUUGAAAGGGAAGCGCUUAUGACCAGACUUGGGCUUGGUUGAUCAUCCGGCGUUCUCGCCGGUGCACUCUUCCGGCUCAGGCCAGCAUCAGUUUGCUUCGGGGGAUAAAGGCUUUGGGAAUGUGGCUCCCUCGGGAGUGUUAUAGCCCACUGUGUAAUACCCUGGAGCGGACUGAGGUACGCGUUCUGCAAGGAUGCUGGCGUAAUGGUCAUCAGUGACCCGUCUUGAAACACGGACCAAGGAGUCGUCUUCGUAUGCGAGUGUUCGGGUGUCAAACCCCUACGCGUAAUGAAAGUGAACGCAGGUGAGAGCUUCGGCGCAUCAUCGACCGAUCCUGAUGUUCUCGGAUGGAUUUGAGUAAGAGCAUACGGGGCCGGACCCGAAAGAAGGUGAACUAUGCCUGUGUAGGGUGAAGCCAGAGGAAACUCUGGUGGAGGCUCGCAGCGGUUCUGACGUGCAAAUCGAUCGUCAAACAUGGGCAUGGGGGCGAAAGACUAAUCGAACCUUC